GUUUGAAGAAACUGAUGGAACAGCUCGUAAAUUGGUUUCAUCACAGUCAAGCUCCAGACCUUGGCAAAGACAUUGCACUGGCACAGAACCGACCACUGAAUCAAGGGGAAGUGUUAGCUUCUUCCUGGAAUCCUGAAUCUUCCUGCUACAGGAUUUAGAGUUAUGACACCAGUUUGACCUGAGGAAGUGAUCUUUGCCUUACCACUCCCACUCCAUAAGAAUAAAGGGACAUCAGAAGUUUCCUUCUGCAAUGACUGCAUAACCUACCCCGUCCCCAUAAAGGGUAUAAACUCAGAUGACCUUAGUUAUUAUUCCCACGGUGAUUUUAGAAAGAGUUUAUGUGUGCAUAUGCAAGUGUGCAUACACACUGGAACAGCAAAGAUAAAACAUGAUACAUUGUUGUUAACCUUCAAGUCUCUUUAUAUUCUUUAGUAAUUGCACAAGAGGGCAAGAGUCACAUGUGAAACUAAUUACAGAAGAUCAUAUUGAGUAGUGUACCCGUUAAAAUGCUGUUGUGAGUUUACAUUAUUCAUGAAAAGAUUGAAUAUGAGAAAAAAUUCUGAUUUUUAUAGGUUAUUUCCAAAAGGAGUCGACUCCAUUUUAAAAAUGCUACUGUUUGAGAGGGUCUCCCUAUUUCAAUGAAAUGACUAUCUGAAAAGUACACAUAUUGUUUUGUUUAUAAAAAAUCUCUGGUGUGAUUUGUUUGGUCUUUUCUAACCACAUCACUUAGCAAAUUGGUUUUUGCCCAAAUGUUUUAUACAUGCUGUAUUAUUUGACCAUCUGUUGUCUUUGACACAUUUUCUGAGUUUUAUUUAUUUUUAAAAAGUUGUUUCUCAGUGAGUUGCUCAUUUUACUACUUAUACAGAUACUCAUGUUGUAUGUGAAAUAAAGACCAUUUGUUGUCUUUUAAAAGAUCAGUGUAUUUCUGUCUGAGAAACAUUCCCAGCUUCUAUAUAAUAUGUGUUUUCAUGUACAGCUGCCAGUCUUGGUUGAUGGACUGCAAUGAAAAUUGGUCAGCACAAGUGACCAGAGAGCUUGGUGGAUGAGGCACAGAGAGGAGAGCGUAAGGUCACAAGUUGGAGAAAGCCAAGUGAGUCAACAUUGCAAGAUGAGAAAAGCAAGUACUGUAAAUUCAGAGGAUGAAGCUGACAUCAGAGUCAAGAGCUAGCGACAUCACGGGCAUAGGCGCAUGGAAAGACUACUGAAGAGUUGUAGCAGAAGUUUGGAGGGGCUGGUACAAUUCAGACAGAAAGAUCAAGGAACAGAAUCAAACAGAGCAAAAAUAUGGAAACGUGAGAGUUUGAGAGUCUAAUAACAGGGGAUGGGUCCGUAACUGUGUCUUAGAAGAAUAUAAUUCCUCAUCUCUGGAAAAAGGAAGGAUGAUGUCUGAGAGUUGGGUAGUACUUCCUAGACUAGAGAAACGCAUACCACUGAGGUGUUUUGGGUAAAUCGUCUCAGUAAGGGGAAGGUUAAGCUCUCCUGGAAUAUUGACUUUUUGACUGGCAUAUGCUGAGUAAUAAUGAUAUAAUACUUGUGGUUGGUAAGGCUUACUUGGGAAUUAUGACAUAAAGUAAGUACUAAAUGACAGUCUUGUUUGGGUAUCAGAUACCAGCUAAAUUGGCCAUGGUCAGGAGUCUCAGCUAUUAAUAUUUGCCCAUCUUCUGAAUAGCAUUAUUGGGUUUUGCUUUUCAAUAAUCUUAAAAUGCAUCUCUGCUGUAAAUAAAGAGGAAAUUAUGAAAUGAUUUUAGACAUUCAAGUUUGAGGCUAGUAUUCUUAUGAAAAUAAGCAAUCCAUUUUCCCAAUACAACCCAUUCUUGCUCAGCAGUCACAGCCCUUGCUGUGACAGAAAACUCCAACUUCUAUGGCAAGAUCAGAGUUGCCAAGCACUUGCUAAGGUCAGUAAUAUGAUUCAUGGAAGCAAAACUGGGAAUUCUUGGAAAGGCUAGCUGCUGGUUUAGGCAGCUGGUCUGAUGACAGACACAGCAGAUAGCUCAGAAAGGCAGACUUUGGAACACUACAUGUGGAUCUUUCCACAAACAUGAAUCUUUCUUGGAAAGUGUAUUCAGUUUAUUAGACAUGGUAGUCUUCUUCCUUAUCAGGGAUAAAUGCUUCCAUUGACCAAUGUCAAAAGACUAAAUCCCACCAUUAGUUUCAGAAAUCUCAAAGAACAGAGCUUUAAAAGAGGUACAAGUGUUUUCUUCUUUUAAGAGAUAUUUGAAACUCUGGCAAGGGUCUUGAACUAUAAUUUGUAUAAAUUGGGAUGCAUUCAUGGAAAAAGAGGCUAUUGUGCAAACUACUGGGAUGCAGGGAUACUCACAUAAAAAUGAGUAAAUUUAGACUUUACUUCUCUUUCUCCUGCUGAUUGAAUUUACU
Molecule: long non-coding RNA, 2373 nt
Organism: Chlorocebus sabaeus (green monkey)
Lineage: Eukaryota; Metazoa; Chordata; Mammalia; Primates; Cercopithecidae
Source: RefSeq, a predicted model, not a curated record